RNAcentral lists this ribosomal RNA (253 nucleotides) under uncultured bacterium. RNAcentral's name for it is "partial 16S ribosomal RNA". It matches the Rfam family "Bacterial small subunit ribosomal RNA", at positions 524 to 776 of the family's 1533-position model. The record is from RNAcentral.
UACGUAGGGUGCAAGCGUUAAUCGGAAUUACUGGGCGUAAAGCGUGCGCAGGCGGUUCGCUAAGACCGAUGUGAAAUCCCCGGGCUUAACCUGGGAACUGCAUUGGUGACUGGCGAACUGGAGUGUGGCAGAGGGGGGUGGAAUUCCGCGUGUAGCAGUGAAAUGCGUAGAGAUGCGGAGGAACACCGAUGGCGAAGGCAGCCCCCUGGGCUAACACUGACGCUCAGGCACGAAAGCGUGGGGAGCAAACAGG